RNAcentral lists this unclassified non-coding RNA (332 nucleotides) under soil metagenome. RNAcentral's name for it is "partial contains 5.8S ribosomal RNA, internal transcribed spacer 2, and large subunit ribosomal RNA". The stretch from base 1 to 120 matches the Rfam family "5.8S ribosomal RNA", at positions 35 to 154 of the family's 154-position model. The record is from RNAcentral.
GAUGAAGAACGUAGCGAAAUGCGAUAAGUAAUGCGAAUUGCAGAAUUCAGUGAGUCAUCGAAUCUUUGAACGCACAUUGCGCCCCGUGGUAUUCCGCGGGGCAUGCCUGUUCGAGCGUCAUUUCAACCCUCAAGCCUGGCUUGGUGUUGGGACUCGCGUUAAUUCGCGUUCCCCAAAUUGAUUGGCGGUCACGUCGAGCUUCCAUAGCGUAGUAGUAAAACCCUCGUUACUGGUAAUCGUCGCGGCCACGCCGUUAAACCCCAACUUCUGAAUGUUGACCUCGGAUCAGGUAGGAAUACCCGCUGAACUUAAGCAUAUCAAUAAGCGGAGGA